AUUACUCCUACGGGAGGCAGCAGUGGGGAAUUUUGGACAAUGGGCGAAAGCCUGAUCCAGCAAUGCCGCGUGCAGGAUGAAGGCCUUCGGGUUGUAAACUGCUUUUGUACGGAACGAAAAGCUUCGGGUUAAUACCCUGGAGUCAUGACGGUACCGUAAGAAUAAGCACCGGCUAACUACGUGCCAGCAGCCGCGGUAAUA
Molecule: ribosomal RNA, 201 nt
Filed under: uncultured Comamonas sp.
Lineage: Bacteria; Pseudomonadati; Pseudomonadota; Betaproteobacteria; Burkholderiales; Comamonadaceae
Description: partial 16S ribosomal RNA
Rfam family: Bacterial small subunit ribosomal RNA
Source: RNAcentral